GACAGAGGGUGCAAACGUUGUUCGGAUUUACUGGGCGUAAAGCGCGUGUAGGCGGCUUUGCAAGUCGGAUGUGAAAGCCCACGGCUCAACCGUGGAAGUGCAUCCGAAACUGCAUGGCUUGAGUCUCGGAGAGGAAGGUGGAAUGCUUGGUGUAGAGGUGAAAUUCGUAGAUAUCAAGCAGAACACCUGCGGCGAAGGCGGCCUUCUGGACGAUGACUGACGCUGAGACGCGAAAGCCAGGGGAGCGAACGGG
This 253-nucleotide ribosomal RNA is filed under the name uncultured bacterium. Its description in RNAcentral is "partial 16S ribosomal RNA". It matches the Rfam family "Bacterial small subunit ribosomal RNA", at positions 524 to 776 of the family's 1533-position model. The record is from RNAcentral.